CUUUGUUGUGGCAACCAAACUGUCCUCAGUGUUUGCCAAAGGAACUCUGGGAAGCAAAAUGGUGGUUAAGAAGCCCUAUCCUAGUAAGAUAGAAGGGUUUCCAAAGACAAUGAGAUCUGGAACAUUCUGGAAUUUCGGAGCCAUGCAGUGCAAUCAACCUCGAGGCUCUUCUAAGAAGUUUAAAGAAAGGAGCCACCAAUAGCAGUGAUCCUCUGAGACGAAGCCGCCCAACCCUGGGGGAUCACAAGUGCAUUCACGGAGCAGAGGACGCCGAAAAAAAGGUCACUCCACUACUGUUUGUAAUAGUGAAAAGUGAGAAAGCCU
RNAcentral lists this long non-coding RNA (324 nucleotides) under Fukomys damarensis (Damara mole-rat). RNAcentral describes it as "lncRNA (ENSFDAG00000033463.1)". Lineage: Eukaryota; Metazoa; Chordata; Mammalia; Rodentia; Bathyergidae. The record is from RNAcentral.